RNAcentral lists this ribosomal RNA (588 nucleotides) under uncultured Alphaproteobacteria bacterium. RNAcentral describes it as "bacterial SSU rRNA". It matches the Rfam family "Bacterial small subunit ribosomal RNA", at positions 927 to 1532 of the family's 1533-position model. Lineage: Bacteria; Pseudomonadati; Pseudomonadota; Alphaproteobacteria. The record is from RNAcentral.
AAGCGGUGGAGCAUGUGGUUUAAUUCGAAGCAACGCGCAGAACCUUACCUACCCUUGACAUGCCGGUCGCAGUUUCCAGAGAUGGAUACUUUCAAUUCGGUUGGACCGUGCACAGGUGCUGCAUGGCUGUCGUCAGCUCGUGUCGCGAGAUGUUGGGUUAAGUCCCGCAACGAGCGCAACCCUCACUGUUAGUUGCCAGCAUUUAGUUGGGCACUCUAGCAGAACUGCCGGUGCUAAGCCGGAGGAAGGUGGGGAUGACGUCAAGUCCUCAUGGCCCUUACGGGUAGGGCUACACACGUGCUACAAUGGCGAUGACAGAGGGUUAAUCCCUAAAAAUCGUCUCAGUUCGGAUUGUCUUCUGCAACUCGAAGACAUGAAGUUGGAAUCGCUAGUAAUCGUGGAUCAGCAUGCCACGGUGAAUACGUUCCCGGGCCUUGUACACACCGCCCGUCACACCAUGGGAGUUGGUUCUACCCGAAGGCGCUGCGCUAACCAGUUCUGGAGGCAGGCGACCACGGUAGGGUCAGCGACUGGGGUGAAGUCGUAACAAGGUAGCCGUAGGGGAACCUGCGGCUGGAUCACCUCCUU